GGGGAAGGAUGAGAAGCUUCGACUAAGGUUCGAUUCGAGCGAAAGCGAGAAAGCGUUGCCAACGGCAACGACCCGAAGGGCGAAGCGCGCAGCGCUGAGUAAUCCUUCCCCCGUCAUCC
Molecule: small RNA, 119 nt
Filed under: Salmonella enterica
Lineage: Bacteria; Pseudomonadati; Pseudomonadota; Gammaproteobacteria; Enterobacterales; Enterobacteriaceae
Also listed under: 2 other names
Description: partial RtT sRNA
Rfam family: RtT RNA
About the family: This family represents a bacterial cis-regulatory element known as RtT RNA.
Source: RNAcentral